GCUGGGUAGGCCCGUGUUGUAGUGCAGCUUCAGACUCUCCAGUGGAGGCCGGGAUGACCCCCACCGGCCCAAAGGGGGGGGAAACGGGGCUGGUCACCGCACCAAAGAGAAGGUGUGUGGCAUCAGAAGGGAGGGGGAGAGCGGGACAGCGGCCGUCUGCACCGCUUCUCCUCCGAGUAGGCCGCAAACUCCAAAGCCUUAGAUCACCCCUGCGGGCUCCAAAACUCCCGAUCUCAGAGUCCACUGCGAUGUCCA
This is a non-coding RNA of Pelobates cultripes (western spadefoot toad), 255 nucleotides long. Lineage: Eukaryota; Metazoa; Chordata; Amphibia; Anura; Pelobatidae. The record is from the annotation of a GenBank genome assembly.